AGAACCCUCUGCGCGUAAGGAGGGCUCUGGGUACGAGAAUGAAGCUGAUUGUUGAAUUUCACAUUUGGGGGAAUUUGGGAAUAACCCCAUUAGCGGAGGCGAGCAAAUAACUACUGCGUAUUUGUUGUGCAUGGGAAGUCUAUAAUUUUGUGGCGGCGUAUAUAAAGUACAAGUCUUUGUAACAAAGUAAGUUGAUUUCAUUAAGUCUUUAUCGUUCACAUCACUUUUAAGCUACAAUACAGCCAGAUUUCAUAAGACAUAAACAUAUAUAUCAAGGCCUAGUUAGCCUGUGACGAGAGCCUUCUGCUCUGCUCAUAUUCUGUGCUCUAAACUUAGGAAAGCUCGGUGAGUUACUUAUUAUGGCCAGAAAAAAGAACCAAAGAGGAGGCGCUGCAGGACGAUGGAAUGGCAGAGGUAAAGUGCAUAUAUGCUAUGACAAACGGCAAGGAAGUAAGUAAAGAUCGGAUGCUCCAAGAAUCCGAAACGACGAUUACAACAGGUUAGACGAACCGAGAGAAAUAAAAAAAUCAAGUUGAUGAGUUCUUAUAAAGUGCCUAAAAAAAUGCGCGACGCAGAAACAGCAGCGCAAAGAGCUGCAAAAAGCAAAUUAGGACUUAAGAAAACUUCUUCGCGAGGUGGAGCAACGGAUUGGCAUAAUUUAUCGCGAGUUUCACAAAGAAAAGUUCGCGACACGAUCCGUUAAGCAGUACAGAAACAUAAUGCUAAACGGCCUAAACGCAAAUAAUUUUGGAACAAAUAUUUUCGUCCUAGAGACGUAUAGUUGAUAUAGUUACUUUGUGGUUGACUAAAAUCUAAAUGUAUUUUAUGCUGAUUUUAUGCUGAUUUGACGAUUUGAACUCGUUUGCUGCUUUCGUAUUUGCCAUUUGGGGAUCUACAAUAGAGCUAGACUACAGAAUCAGAAUCAGAGAUAUGCCAUUGCUACUUUGAAAUUUAUAACAGAAUAACCUUUUGGUUAAUCGCUCAAGAAGUUAAACUAUAGCAAAGUAAAAAAGUUGCUGUUUAAGCAACUUUCGCUUCUGGUUUUCGAGGAAUAAAUGUCACUUGACACUUGCUAAUUAAUAUUCGAAUAUGUGCAUGAGUUUAAUAUUCAAAAUACAUAAUAUCAGCA
Non-coding RNA from Paramuricea clavata, 1129 nucleotides. The record is from the annotation of a GenBank genome assembly. Lineage: Eukaryota; Metazoa; Cnidaria; Anthozoa; Malacalcyonacea; Plexauridae.